This 364-nucleotide ribosomal RNA is filed under the name uncultured Methanomicrobiales archaeon. Its description in RNAcentral is "bacterial SSU rRNA". It matches the Rfam family "Archaeal small subunit ribosomal RNA", at positions 975 to 1338 of the family's 1478-position model. The record is from RNAcentral. Lineage: Archaea; Methanobacteriati; Methanobacteriota; Methanomicrobia; Methanomicrobiales.
GUUAGCUGAGAGGUGGUGCAUGGCCGUCGUCAGUUCGUACUGUGAAGCAUCCUGUUAAGUCAGGCAACGAGCGAGACCCACGCCAACAGUUGCCAGCUCGUCCUCCGGGAUGGUGGGGACACUGUUGGGACCGCCUCUGCUAAAGAGGAGGAAGGAAUGGGCAACGGUAGGUCAGCAUGCCCCGAAUUAUCUGGGCUACACGCGGGCUACAAUGGGUGGGACAAUGGGUAUCGACACCGAAAGGUGAAGGCAAUCUCCUAAACCCAUCCGUAGUUCGGAUUGUGGGCUGCAACUCGCCCACAUGAAGCUGGAAUCUGUAGUAAUCGUGUCUCAAAAUGGCACGGUGAAUAUGUCCCUGCUCCUU